CUGGACUAUGGAACAAAGAGCACUUCGAGCAACCGCGGUUGCUUUUGUUCAGCCUGUGCAAUAGAUCAGAAAGAAAGCGAUCGCUUUACGUUGCAGUCGAGUCAAUAUGGAAUGGCCCUAGGACCUGGAGUAUACUUUUCUUGGGAGACCAAAAGAAGACUUCGGUCCCGAACUUGAGUGGAUCUAAUCAAGGCAAACAAUUGCCUGGAGCGGAAGGUGGACACAAUGGUCCCGAAGAAACAGUGGACAUAGUCUUGGGAGACUGCGAUCAGUGCUCCUGCAAGCUCAUUUUACGAGAGGAAUCUGAAGAGGAUGACAACAAAUGCCAAAAAAUAAUGGACAUUCGGUGUACGUGUAACGGAAAUCAUUGUACAAGCAAAGAAAUAUCAAACUGCUUGGCUGACAUGGCUGACACGUCUUAAUAAAAAGAAACGUUGGGGUUGCGGACCACUCAAUAAAGGUAAUAAUACUUACGUAUUCCCAA
This 484-nucleotide long non-coding RNA is filed under the name Rhipicephalus microplus (southern cattle tick). Its description in RNAcentral is "uncharacterized LOC119169396, transcript variant X5". Lineage: Eukaryota; Metazoa; Arthropoda; Arachnida; Ixodida; Ixodidae. The record is from RNAcentral.